AACAGGAUUAGAUACCCUGGUAGUCCACGCCCUAAACGAUGUCAACUGGUUGUUGGGAGGGUUUCUUCUCAGUAACGUAGCUAACGCGUGAAGUUGACCGCCUGGGGAGUACGGCCGCAAGGUUGAAACUCAAAGGAAUUGACGGGGACCCGCACAAGCGGUGGAUGAUGUGGUUUAAUUCGAUGCAACGCGAAAAACCUUACCUACCCUUGACAUGCCAGGAAUCUUGCAGAGAUGUGAGAGUGCUCGAAAGAGAACCUGGACACAGGUGCUGCAUGGCCGUCGUCAGCUCGUGUCGUGAGAUGUUGGGUUAAGUCCCGCAACGAGCGCAACCCUUGUCAUUAGUUGCCACGAAAGGGCACUCUAAUGAGACUGCCGGUGACAAACCGGAGGAAGGUGGGGAUGACGUCAGGUCAUCAUGGCCCUUAUGGGUAGGGCUACACACGUCAUACAAUGGCCGGGACAGAGGGCUGCCAACCCGCGAGGGGGAGCUAAUCCCAGAAACCCGGUCGUAGUCCGGAUCGCAGUCUGCAACUCGACUGCGUGAAGUCGGAAUCGCUAGUAAUCGCGGAUCAGCUUGCCGCGGUGAAUACGUUCCCGGGUCUUGUACACACCGCCCGUCACACCAUGGGAGCGGGUUCUGCCAGAAGUAGUUAGCCUAACCGCAAGGAGGGCGAUUACCACGGCAGGGUUCGUGACUGGGGUGAAGUCGUAACAAGGUAACC
RNAcentral lists this ribosomal RNA (725 nucleotides) under uncultured bacterium. RNAcentral describes it as "bacterial SSU rRNA". It matches the Rfam family "Bacterial small subunit ribosomal RNA", at positions 771 to 1501 of the family's 1533-position model. The record is from RNAcentral.